GGUUAAGCUACUAAGAGCGCACGGAGGAUGCCUAGGCGCUAGGAGCCGAAGAAGGACGUGGCGAACAACGAAAUGCCUCGGGGAGCCGUAAGCAGGCGC
This 99-nucleotide ribosomal RNA is filed under the name Paenibacillus artemisiicola. RNAcentral's name for it is "partial 23S ribosomal RNA". It matches the Rfam family "Bacterial large subunit ribosomal RNA", at positions 1 to 99 of the family's 2925-position model. The record is from RNAcentral. Lineage: Bacteria; Bacillati; Bacillota; Bacilli; Caryophanales; Paenibacillaceae.